RNAcentral lists this ribosomal RNA (174 nucleotides) under uncultured Nocardioides sp. Its description in RNAcentral is "partial 16S ribosomal RNA". It matches the Rfam family "Bacterial small subunit ribosomal RNA", at positions 338 to 524 of the family's 1533-position model. Lineage: Bacteria; Bacillati; Actinomycetota; Actinomycetes; Propionibacteriales; Nocardioidaceae. The record is from RNAcentral.
CCUACGGGAGGCAGCAGUGGGGAAUAUUGGACAAUGGGCGGAAGCCUGAUCCAGCAACGCCGCGUGAGGGAUGACGGCCUUCGGGUUGUAAACCUCUUUCAGUAGGGACGAAGCGCAAGUGACGGUACCUACAGAAGAAGCAUCGGCCAACUACGUGCCAGCAGCCGCGGUAAU